This 217-nucleotide long non-coding RNA is filed under the name Mytilus galloprovincialis (Mediterranean mussel). Lineage: Eukaryota; Metazoa; Mollusca; Bivalvia; Mytilida; Mytilidae. The record is from RNAcentral.
CAUUUUUAUUUCGGGGCAUUUUAUAGCUGACUAUGCGGUAUGGGCUUUGCUCAUUGUUGACGACCGUACGGUGACCUAUAGUGGGUAAUUUCUGUGUCACUUUGGUCUCUUGCGGAGAGUUGUUUCUUAGGCAAUCAUACCACACCUUCAUUUUUAUAUCUAUUGUACACAUUUUGUUUUUGUCUCUGAUAUAGUCGCCUUAAAAGGGUUCCUUGAU